This 84-nucleotide transfer RNA is filed under the name Paracoccaceae bacterium. RNAcentral's name for it is "tRNA-Leu". It matches the Rfam family "tRNA". From Rfam's summary of the family: Transfer RNA (tRNA) molecules are approximately 80 nucleotides in length. Their secondary structure includes four short double-helical elements and three loops (D, anti-codon, and T loops). Further hydrogen bonds mediate the characteristic L-shaped molecular structure. tRNAs have two regions of fundamental functional importance: the anti-codon, which is responsible for specific mRNA codon recognition, and the 3' end, to which the tRNAs corresponding amino acid is attached (by aminoacyl-tRNA synthetases). tRNAs cope with the degeneracy of the genetic code in two manners: having more than one tRNA (with a specific anti-codon) for a particular amino acid; and 'wobble' base-pairing, i.e. permitting non-standard base-pairing at the 3rd anti-codon position. RNAcentral also lists the same sequence under 7 other names. The record is from RNAcentral. Lineage: Bacteria; Pseudomonadati; Pseudomonadota; Alphaproteobacteria; Rhodobacterales; Paracoccaceae.
GCCCGAGUGGCGGAAUGGUAGACGCAGGGGAUUCAAAAUCCUCCGCCGCAAGGUUUGCGAGUUCGAGUCUCGCCUCGGGCACCA